Long non-coding RNA from Rosa chinensis, 318 nucleotides. RefSeq lists it as uncharacterized. The record is from RefSeq and is a predicted model, not a curated record. The transcript is spliced from 3 exons. NCBI's taxonomy places the organism in Eukaryota, Viridiplantae, Streptophyta, Magnoliopsida, Rosales, Rosaceae.
AGAAAAUCGAGUUUCUUUCUUAAGGUUGUUUUGUUUUCGGGUUUGUGUUACAGAUGGACAUCACAGUAAUGGACGACAAUUCAUCGAAGAAGAAGAAGAAAAAGGAGGAAAAGGCAAGAUUUCACGAACUGAAAAAGCAAAAGGCUUUAGAGAAAGCUUCCAAGCUUCAGGCACAAAAAGCUAAUUAACGAACAGUGAAAAGAAGAAACUUCGCAACGAGGACGCCGGCGACAAUGCCAACCCUCCGACCCCAGUCGGCGAGAAGAAACGAUUGUCUUCUCAAAUGGCUAAACACUACAGUCCAAGUGAUGUAGAGAA